RNAcentral lists this ribosomal RNA (426 nucleotides) under uncultured bacterium. Its description in RNAcentral is "bacterial SSU rRNA". It matches the Rfam family "Bacterial small subunit ribosomal RNA", at positions 1 to 435 of the family's 1533-position model. The record is from RNAcentral.
UAGGGUUUGAUCCUGGCUCAGAUUGAACGCUGGCGGCAGGCCUAACACAUGCAAGUCGAGCGGAUGAAGGGAGCUUGCUCCUGGAUUCAGCGGCGGACGGGUGAGUAAUGCCUAGGAAUCUGCCUGGUAGUGGGGGAUAACGUCCGGAAACGGGCGCUAAUACCGCAUACGUCCUGAGGGAGAAAGUGGGGGAUCUUCGGACCUCACGCUAUCAGAUGAGCCUAGGUCGGAUUAGCUAGUUGGUGGGGUAAAGGCCUACCAAGGCGACGAUCCGUAACUGGUCUGAGAGGAUGAUCAGUCACACUGGAACUGAGACACGGUCCAGACUCCUACGGGAGGCAGCAGUGGGGAAUAUUGGACAAUGGGCGAAAGCCUGAUCCAGCCAUGCCGCGUGUGUGAAGAAGGUCUUCGGAUUGUAAAGCACUU